Molecule: transfer RNA, 69 nt
Filed under: Betasyrphus serarius
Lineage: Eukaryota; Metazoa; Arthropoda; Insecta; Diptera; Syrphidae
Description: tRNA-Gln
Rfam family: tRNA
About the family: Transfer RNA (tRNA) molecules are approximately 80 nucleotides in length. Their secondary structure includes four short double-helical elements and three loops (D, anti-codon, and T loops).
Source: RNAcentral
UAUAUUUUAGUGUAUGAUGCACAAUAGUUUUUGAUACUUUUAGUAAUGGUUUGAUUCCAUUAAAUAUAA